UACGUAGGGGGCAAGCGUUGUCCGGAUUUAUUGGGCGUAAAGAGCGUGUAGGCGGCUCGAUAAGUCCGCUGUGAAAGUCCAGGGCUCAACCCUGGGAUGCCGGUGGAUACUGUCGGGCUCGAGUCCGGAAGAGGCGAGUGGAAUUCCUGGUGUAGCGGUGAAAUGCGCAGAUAUCAGGAGGAACACCAAUGGCGAAGGCAGCUCGCUGGGACGUGACUGACGCUGAGACGCGAAAGCGUGGGGAGCAAACAGG
RNAcentral lists this ribosomal RNA (253 nucleotides) under uncultured bacterium. RNAcentral describes it as "partial 16S ribosomal RNA". It matches the Rfam family "Bacterial small subunit ribosomal RNA", at positions 524 to 776 of the family's 1533-position model. The record is from RNAcentral.